Molecule: long non-coding RNA, 282 nt
Filed under: Mustela putorius furo (domestic ferret)
Lineage: Eukaryota; Metazoa; Chordata; Mammalia; Carnivora; Mustelidae
Description: lncRNA (ENSMPUG00000028742.1)
Source: RNAcentral
GGAAUGUGUACUCGUGAUGCUGUGUGGGAGAAGUUUAUGGGCAGUACAGAGAACAUGUGGCGGGUUUUUCUACUCAUGAUGUGGUUUAGAGGAAGUCUAUGGGCAGUAUUAGAUCAAAGAAUAUAUCUUCCUAUAGACUUUGGUUCAGUGUCUCCUGUACCACGAAUUCCUAACAAAUGUGAAAUAGCAAGCAUCUUAUGUAACAAGGAAAGAGUCAUAGUUUUCACCAAGUCAAUUCUCAACCAUUUUCUGCCCCAGUUAGGAGGGGGCAAAUCCACCUAA